RNAcentral lists this long non-coding RNA (503 nucleotides) under Gallus gallus (chicken). Lineage: Eukaryota; Metazoa; Chordata; Aves; Galliformes; Phasianidae. The record is from RNAcentral.
GGGGCACGCCGGGACCUGCAGUUUGCCCCUCCGUCCCUUCGCCGCCGCGGCGCUUUACCCCCGGGCCGCGGCCUCACGGCGGCUGCCGCCCCGCAGCGCCCGCACCCUGGAUGUGCCGCGCCACGGAGCGAGCCUCACCGCUUGCUCCAGCUUCAAACAAACACGCGGCAUCGCGACGCGGUGCCCCCCGGACGUCCAAGAGCGAACCAACAAGCUCAGACACUGAAAAGCCACUAUCGGAUCACCUCAGAGCGCUCUCCAGGCUGAAGAGCCCCAGCUCUCUCAGCCUGUCCUCAUAGGAGAGGUUUUUCCAUCCCUUGGAUCAUUUUUGUGGCCCUCCUCUGGAUGCUCUCCAACAGGUCCACGUCUCUCCUGUACAGAGGACUCCACAUCUGGACACAGUACUCCAGGUGAGGCUUCACCAGCACAGAGUGGAGGGGCAGGAUCACCUCCCUUGACCUGCUGGCCACAAUUCUUUGGAUGCAGCCCAAGAUACUGUUGGC